Molecule: ribosomal RNA, 253 nt
Filed under: uncultured bacterium
Lineage: Bacteria
Description: partial 16S ribosomal RNA
Rfam family: Bacterial small subunit ribosomal RNA
Source: RNAcentral
UACGAAGGGGGCUAGCGUUGCUCGGAAUUACUGGGCGUAAAGCGCACGUAGGCGGAUUGUUAAGUCGGGGGUGAAAUCCUGGAGCUCAACUCCAGAACUGCCUUCGAUACUGGCGAUCUCGAGUUCGGGAGAGGUGAGUGGAACUGCGAGUGUAGAGGUGAAAUUCGUAGAUAUUCGCAAGAACACCAGUGGCGAAGGCGGCUCACUGGCCCGAUACUGACGCUGAGGUGCGAAAGCGUGGGGAGCGAACGGG